Maylandia zebra (zebra mbuna) is the source of this 249-nucleotide non-coding RNA. NCBI's taxonomy places the organism in Eukaryota, Metazoa, Chordata, Actinopteri, Cichliformes, Cichlidae. The record is from RefSeq and is a predicted model, not a curated record.
UUAGAAUAAAAAGGAAGAACAGCAGUUCUGCAGUCAGCAAACAGAGGAAAUUCAAGUUUAUUUCUAUCUUUAAGAAGCACGAUGAGUGAGUGCAGAACUUCUACACCUGAACCAGAGAUCCCCGUCACCAUUGCCAUGUCUUCAGGACUCCUCUUCAAGCAAGAACAGCAGGGCUAUGGCCCUGCCUUCCAAUUUGUUGAGGCUCUGAAGGCAGUCAAUGCUGAACUCACAAACCAUUACCCUGACAGU